RNAcentral lists this ribosomal RNA (328 nucleotides) under uncultured eukaryote. RNAcentral describes it as "partial 18S ribosomal RNA". It matches the Rfam family "Eukaryotic small subunit ribosomal RNA", at positions 1470 to 1796 of the family's 1831-position model. The record is from RNAcentral.
CCCUUAGAUGUCCUGGGCCGCACGCGCGCUACACUGAUGCAUGCAACGAGUUUAUAACCUUGGCCUGAAAGGUCUGGGUAAUCUUUUGAGCGUGCAUCGUGAUAGGGAUAGAUUAUUGCAAUUGUUAAUCUUGAACGAGGAAUUCCUAGUAAACGCGAGUCAUCAGCUCGCAUUGAUUACGUCCCUGCCCUUUGUACACACCGCCCGUCGCACCUACCGAUUGAAUGGUUCGGUGAAGAUCUCGGACUUCGAUAUUUAUUCUUUAUUGAGUUUAUAUUGUGGGAAGUUAUCUAAACCUCAUCAUUUAGAGGAAGGUGAAGUCGUAACA